CUUCACCCACACAUACACACACAUACAUACAUGCUUCAACCCAUUACACACCGAAGAAGAGUGCAGUUCUAGGAACAGCUAAAAUACUGCGCAGAACCCUCAAACUCCCAGGCCUCUGGUAGAGGACCCGAGAAUGAGGAAUAAACAUACCACCCAGGAGGGGUGAUAAAAUCAAUUUUAAUUUUUAUAUUAACUACAGCUCCUUGUUAAGCACACAAUGCAACCUCAAUGCACAUACACUCACAAUGCAGCCCCUAGAUGCACACACACACACACACACACUUUACAGACCCUGUCGGCACACACACACAAUCUCAAAAGCUCCUUUACUUGAGCUUGUGCUCAAACUACAUCCCCCUAGUUACACAUAGUACACCAUAAACAGACUCCUCUAUACACACACUUCAUGACAGCCCAUUCUAAACACCAUGGAAAAUAAUCUUGCAUCUCCUGAA
Pelobates cultripes (western spadefoot toad) is the source of this 455-nucleotide non-coding RNA. Lineage: Eukaryota; Metazoa; Chordata; Amphibia; Anura; Pelobatidae. The record is from the annotation of a GenBank genome assembly.